This 450-nucleotide ribosomal RNA is filed under the name uncultured bacterium. RNAcentral describes it as "bacterial SSU rRNA". It matches the Rfam family "Bacterial small subunit ribosomal RNA", at positions 335 to 799 of the family's 1533-position model. The record is from RNAcentral.
ACUCCUACGGGAGGCAGCAGUGGGGAAUAUUGCACAAUGGGCGCAAGCCUGAUGCAGCAACGCCGUGUGAGUGAAGAAGGUUUUCGGAUCGUAAAACUCUGUCCUAAGGGAAGAAACAAAUGACGGUACCUUAGGAGGAAGCCCCGGCUAACUACGUGCCAGCAGCCGCGGUAAUACGUAGGGGGCAAGCGUUAUCCGGAAUCACUGGGCGUAAAGGGUGCGUAGGCGGCUUAGCAAGCCAGGGGUGAAAGGCAUUGGCUCAACCAAUGUAAGCCUUUGGAACUGUUAAGCUUGAGUGCAGGAGAGGUAAGUGGAAUUCCUAGUGUAGAGGUGAAAUUCGUAGAUAUUAGGAGGAACACCAGUGGCGAAGGCGACUUACUGGACUGUAACUGACGCUGAUGCACGAAAGCGUGGGUAGCGAACAGGAUUAGAUACCCUGGGAGCACAGAG